Molecule: ribosomal RNA, 1311 nt
Filed under: Vibrio vulnificus
Lineage: Bacteria; Pseudomonadati; Pseudomonadota; Gammaproteobacteria; Vibrionales; Vibrionaceae
Description: partial 23S ribosomal RNA
Rfam family: Bacterial large subunit ribosomal RNA
Source: RNAcentral
GGUUAAGUGACUAAGCGUACACGGUGGAUGCCUUGGCAGUCAGAGGCGAUGAAGGACGUAGUAACUUGCGAUAAGCGUAGAUGAGGCAGUAACAGCCACUUGAGUCUACGAUUUCCGAAUGGGGAAACCCACUGGCAUAAGCCAGUAUCAUUGAGUGAAUACAUAGCUCAAUGAAGCGAACCGGGAGAACUGAAACAUCUAAGUACCCCGAGGAAAAGAAAUCAACCGAGAUUCCGAAAGUAGCGGCGAGCGAAAUUGGAUUAGCCCUUAAGCUUUACAUGUGUUAGACGAACGGUCUGGAAAGUCCGACGAUACAGGGUGAUAGUCCCGUAGUUGUAGACGCAUGUUCAGUGAAAUCGAGUAGGGCGGGACACGUGUUAUCCUGUCUGAAUAUGGGGGGACCAUCCUCCAAGGCUAAAUACUCCUGACUGACCGAUAGUGAACCAGUACCGUGAGGGAAAGGCGAAAAGAACCCCUGUGAGGGGAGUGAAAUAGAACCUGAAACCGUGUACGUACAAGCAGUAGGAGCACCUUCGUGGUGUGACUGCGUACCUUUUGUAUAAUGGGUCAGCGACUUAUAUUCAGUGGCAAGGUUAACCAUCUAGGGGAGCCGUAGGGAAACCGAGUCUUAACUGGGCGCCAUAGUCUCUGGAUAUAGACCCGAAACCGAGUGAUCUAGCCAUGGGCAGGUUGAAGGUUGAGUAACAUCAACUGGAGGACCGAACCGACUAAUGUUGAAAAAUUAGCGGAUGACUUGUGGCUAGGGGUGAAAGGCCAAUCAAACUCGGAGAUAGCUGGUUCUCCCCGAAAGCUAUUUAGGUAGCGCCUCGGACGAAUACUACUGGGGGUAGAGCACUGUUAAGGCUAGGGGGUCAUCCCGACUUACCAACCCUUUGCAAACUCCGAAUACCAGUAAGUACUAUCCGGGAGACACACGGCGGGUGCUAACGUCCGUCGUGGAGAGGGAAACAACCCAGACCGCCAGCUAAGGUCCCAAAUUACAGCUAAGUGGGAAACGAUGUGGGAAGGCUUAGACAGCUAGGAUGUUGGCUUAGAAGCAGCCAUCAUUUAAAGAAAGCGUAAUAGCUCACUAGUCGAGUCGGCCUGCGCGGAAGAUGUAACGGGGCUAAGUUGUAAACCGAAGCUGCGGCAAUAUCUUUUAGAUAUUGGGUAGGGGAGCGUUCUGUAAGCCGUUGAAGGUGUGUUGUAAAGCAUGCUGGAGGUAUCAGAAGUGCGAAUGCUGACAUGAGUAACGACAAGGGGGGUGAAAAACCUCCCCGCCGGAAGACCAAGGGUUCCUGUCCAACGUUA